This 2397-nucleotide long non-coding RNA is filed under the name Homo sapiens (human). RNAcentral describes it as "HSALNT0371390". Lineage: Eukaryota; Metazoa; Chordata; Mammalia; Primates; Hominidae. The record is from RNAcentral.
GGGGUGCUCCACUGAAGGAGACUACUGUGACACCUUGCGAGCAAGCAGGCUUCCUUUCUGAGGUUGCACCGAGCCAGCCCUAGGUACACGUCCGUUUAUACAAACACUUGUGUAUCCCUUGUUCACACGGUCGUGCACGCUGCUCUUUUUCCUCUCCGUGUAUCCGGAAGAUGGUUCCGAAUCAACUGGAUAGGAUUUUUAAUUUCCGAAGGCACGAGCUCCCCUGGCAUCCGCAAAUGUGACCCGCAAUUUAGAGAGGAAGAGGAGCGCAGACCCUACCUGUCCGGAGUAACGGUCAGGAGAGAGGUGGGGAAGGGCUGGGCCCCUCUCGGUGUCCCGGGUUCCCGGCAGAAGUCUCCAGGGCUGAGGGAGUCUGCAGACACGGAGUUUCCGUGCCAGAGGAGCGGGUCCACGCGGACAGGCAGUUCCAGCUCCGGGACAUACUUUAUUCAGCUGGGUGCUGAAAAAGAAUCUUGGAAAUUAGGAAACUGAAUGAGGCCUCAUUUCACACUCAGAAUGUGGGUUGCAAUAGUCACUUCCUCUGCUGCUGGGAAAGAAAGAAUUAUACUACCUUUUGAAUUUUGGAUUAAGGAGAGAGGUGUUGGCUUGUCAAACUACCAUGUAUUCCUCAAGACAUAUUUUUGUGGCUUUAUAAAAUUCAAUAUAUAUGUCUAAAUUCAAAAAUAUUUUGUUGCAAUCUGGCCCUUGGACAAACUGAGGCCCUAGCAACUGAUGUUUAUGGCUUUCCGUAGAACCUUUCAGAUAAAAUUUACACAGCAUUUUACUGCAGCUAUUUCACACAAAGCAGAGGAUUUUGCCACAAAACUGAAAGAAAAAAGAAACUGCAUUCUUAAAUUUUUCAUAAAUCAAAAGGUAUAAAAAUAUCUACCUAAACGAUAAAGGAGAUGAGAAACCCCACCCAUGAUGGGAAGAAAGCCUAUUUCAGUUUUGCCUUUACUUCAAGUUCUUUUUUCCAUAUCUGGAAUGCAAUCAGAAUUUUAAUCUUGCCUUGGGUUCCUCCUGGAUUUGGGGAGAAGACAAAACCUGAAAAUCUCUAAUCUGCAUGUGUUCAGCUGCGUAUCUUCUGGAUACGGAAGGAUCACACUGCACAGAGUGCUGGACUUGCAGGAGCCCCGCUUCUCAACCUCCAUCGCUUUAUGAAUGAAUUCACCAGAAAGAAAAGGAAGAAUCAACACUUUCAGAGAUGGAGCCUGUUGAGCCACAGUACCAACUAGUCAAUGCUGAAUCGACUUCUCCCUUUCUACAUUGCCUGAGAGAAGUCAUUGGGGAAUACUCUGUACACGAAUUUUCACUGUUGGGGAAAACAGAGAGUCAAGGGAUUGGAUUGUGGAUUGCAUUGGUGGUUUUCCUCAGUUUCCUCAUCUUCUCCACAAGUUUCUACAUAUCGAAUGCAGAGCAGCCCUUCUUCAAAGGACCUCCUACGGAAGCUGCUAAGGAACUCAGUCUGUAGCUCUGCGUGGAGCCAUGUGUAAACACUGAACUGAGACCUGCCACCUCCUACUACCUAAGGGCCCAUUUUCAUCUGAUAUCAUCCCCCAGAAACAAACUCAUGAUGACUUCCAUGUUUUUUUUAGAUUAGAUACAUGGAGAAUUUUCCUUUCCCUUAGAAUUAAAAUCCUGCAUUCUAAUUUUCAGGUAAAACUUUUUCGUCUCUACAGAACUCUCUCCAAGUGCACACCCAUAGAUUGGUUUGCUUGUGGAAUCCUAGCAUAUCAGAAAUGAAGGAAUCUCAGAAAUUGUUUUCAUCAAACACCUCAUAUGCAGAAGGCAAAAUGAAGGUUCAGAGCAGAAAUGAUUUGUCCAAGGAUGCAACACUCAUCUGCAGCAGAGGGAAGCUGAGCUCUGCAGACCCACCUAGCACUGCAGAGGCAGCCCUCUAGGACAAGGCUUCAUAAAAAAGUGACUUUAUGAGUUGGCUCCAUAAAAAAGAUACAGAUUAAGAAAUUGUUUAAACAGUGAUCUCUAUAUAAUUACUCUUUUAUUUAAAAGUAUGGGCUGGGAGCGGUGGCUGACGCCUGUAAUCCCAGCACUUUGGGAGGCCGAUGUGAGCAGAUAACCUGAGGUCGGGAGUUAGAGACCAGCCUGACCAACAUGGAGAAACUCCGUCUCUACUAAAAAUACAAAAUUAGCAGGGUGUGGUGGUGCAUGCCUGUAAUCCCAGCUACUCGGGAGGCUGAGGCAGGAGAACUGCUUGAACCCAGGAGGCAGAGGUUGUGGUGAGCCGAGAUCGCGCCAUUGCACUCCAGCCUGGGCAACAAGAGCGAAACUCUGUCUCAAAAUAAAUAAAUAAAUAAGUAUUCCUUUCCCAGUCUUUUGCUGUGUGGAGCCAAGAUUUUUAUUUGCAGAAGUCUGCAGGGCUGGUGUGAUCUCUUUCAG